RNAcentral lists this long non-coding RNA (691 nucleotides) under Gopherus agassizii (Agassiz's desert tortoise). RNAcentral's name for it is "lncRNA (ENSGAGG00000020989.1)". Lineage: Eukaryota; Metazoa; Chordata; Testudines; Testudinidae. The record is from RNAcentral.
AUCUGUUUUCUCUGCCCUUGCAGUACCUUUGUCUGGCUCUAUGGAGGAUCCUGGGUGACUGGUCAUUUUAUUAUGGCCUGGCACAUCUGAGAUCAAGUCACUCAGCUUGUCAACAUGCUCCCAGCAGAAAAACUUCAGUUGAAACCCUUCCUCUGGGCUUUGAAAUCUGAACGGUGUCCAACUCUGACAGAAGAGUGUGAUGAGAACCUCUCUCUGUGAUGUUGCCGUCUGAACAAUGCCCAAGAAACAGAAGGUGGGACCCACUAGACUGACACCUUUCAAUACUGCUUUCCAGUGAAGAACCCUGAAAGCCAGGGACUGAGAUGGGCAGAAUGUGAGGGAACCCACCUCUUUGGCCUAGGCUACUCCACACAGUCUUGGAACAAGGAACUGCUGUCCAUGGUCCUGUGUAAAUGUGAAGAAGCAAUCAGUGCACUGGACCAUCACUAUUGGGAUGUGGAUUAAAUUCCUCCCUGGAAGACAUACUUGAAAUGCAUUCUUCGGGGUGUCAGCCUUUUCUUGGUGCAUUAGAUCCCUGCUUGGAGCCCUAGUGUGAAAUAUGUGUGGAUGUAGGAAUAUGAGUCAUGGAGAGGGGAAAUGGUUUGACCCAGGUCUCCCAGCAAGGCCCAAGCAGAGAGGAAACAAGAAAUCUGACUCUCAGGAUCCCUGCUUUAACCACUAUCCACUGCAC